GAUACGAAUUCCCAAAGAACGGCACACACUUGGUCGGUAUCGGAUGGAUAGAUCCUUGACUCCAAACGGAUCCACGGAGAAGAUGCUAAGGGGUGGGUCGGAACCCGAAGAUCCUUAGGCCCAAACUCGCGGUGAAAGGCUUGAAACAAGGGGGUGACUAAGCUGGCUGAUUGGAUCCGCGGAAAAAGGAUGUUAAGGCGUGAGAACUAGGUUCCUGAAAAUCCCUAAGCCCCUUUAACUACUUGAACGUUCCAACGAGACAACUGGGUGAAGGCUGCGUCAAGUUCUAUGGAUUGAACUUGAUAAACCGAAAAGAUUCAAGAGGCUAACCACCUAAGGAAUCGAAAAAAAGUUCUAAAAGAACAAAGGAGAAAACUCAGAUUUUAUUUGAUAAGUGAAUUGCCCAAAAUGAGAAGGGGAACAAGCCUUUAUAUAGCAGGCGAAGUAGCUCAAGAGACAAACUCGAAAAUGACAGAAAAAUUAAUAAAGUCUUGACCGAAAUAAAUGAACUAAAGACUGACUCUUCGGCUGGCCUUUGACUGACUCUUGAGUUGCCAAGCCGAAAAUGACUCUUGCUAUUCCGACCCAUGAACCAGACCGUAAACCAAUCCUAGGUCGAGAGAUGGGCAAUGGACUUAACCUCGUUAAAACCCCACCCGGUAAACCCAUUGGGACAAACCCGGGUGUAAGGAAAAAGAGUAUUAAACCAUCACCCAGACCAGAUUAGUUACAGCCGGCGUUCAUGAGCACGGUCACGAUCUUGGGUGAUGCUGGGUCGCCUGGUCCAAUCUUGAUCCCAUUAAGUACAGCCUGGACCGUUCCUGCCAGCUUCUUAGCUCUGGAUCGCGUCAUAGGUCCAUCCGGUACAGACAAAUGUGCUUCCGGAACCUCGAUUCCAUUGUUUGGGUCAUCCUUUGGGUC
Molecule: long non-coding RNA, 921 nt
Filed under: Eutrema salsugineum
Lineage: Eukaryota; Viridiplantae; Streptophyta; Magnoliopsida; Brassicales; Brassicaceae
Description: long non-coding RNA (ESAL_LNC001869)
Source: RNAcentral